AUAUAUGGACUGAGAAAUCUGCCACAUUUCUGCAGGAAGAACGUUGGCUUGGAGGAGUGGCCUCAGGCCAUCUAUGUAACAGGCCUCUCUCCCUUCAGUCUGGGAGAGAGUGCCAUAAAAGUACCCACGCUGGUAAGGGUAACAACACUGUAGUAAAACUUUUUUUUUUUUUUACUUUCUUUUUGCUACUGAACCCUGUGAUGGGUCUAGCCUUUGUUUUCUUGUGGAACAGUGUAAGUUGUGAUUUCUCUGUUCAUUAUCUUCUGGUUAACCCUUAGCAUCCCUUAUACAAAGUAAUGAAAUUUGAAACUGACAUCAUGAAUAGGUUGGAAUAUGAAGGAGAGGCAUCUAGGCAGCUCUCUAACACCACAUUCUACAGGCCAUUACCCUCUGAUCCCACUGACGGUUACCAAAAGAAACUACACCCUCUGCUCAAGAAACUCCCUGAAAAAGAACAGGAACAAAUCUGCACAGAUACACCCCUAGAAUCCCGACCAGGGGUAUUCUAUCUGCUAUCCAAGAUCCAUAAACAGGGUCAUCCUGGAUGCCCCAUCAUUUCAGGCAUUGGCAUCCUGACAGCAGGAUUGUCUGGCUAUGUAGACUCUCUCCUCAGGCCCUACGCUACCAGCACUCCUAGCUAUCUUCAAGACAACACUGACUUCCUGAGGAAACUACAAUCCAUCGGUGAUCUUCCAGAAAACACCAUCCUGGCCACCACGGAUGUAGAAGCCCUCUACACCAACAUUCCACACAAAGAUGGACUACAAGCCAUCAGGAACAGCAUCCCCAGUAAUGUCACAGCAAACGUGGUGGCUGAACUUUGUGACUUUGUCCUCACCCACAACUAUUUCACAUUUGGGGACAAUAUAUACCUUCAAGUCAGCACCACUGCUAUGGGUACCCGCAUGACCCCACAGUAUGCUGCCAACAUUUUUAUGGCUGACUUAGAACAACGCUUCCUCAGCUCUCGUCUUCUAACGCCCCUACUCUACUUGUGCUACAUUGAUGACAUCUUCAUCAUCUGGACCCAUGGAAAAGAAGCCCUUGAGGAAUUCCACUAU
RNAcentral lists this long non-coding RNA (1061 nucleotides) under Chrysemys picta bellii (western painted turtle). RNAcentral's name for it is "lncRNA (ENSCPBG00000018059.1)". The record is from RNAcentral. Lineage: Eukaryota; Metazoa; Chordata; Testudines; Emydidae.